This 425-nucleotide ribosomal RNA is filed under the name uncultured bacterium. RNAcentral's name for it is "partial 16S ribosomal RNA". It matches the Rfam family "Bacterial small subunit ribosomal RNA", at positions 354 to 796 of the family's 1533-position model. The record is from RNAcentral.
GUUAGGAAUAUUGGACAAUGGGCGCAAGCCUGAUCCAGCCAUGCCGCGUGAGUGAUGAAGGCCUUCGGGUUGUAAAGUUCUUUAGCCGAUGAUUAUAAUGACUGUAGUCGGAAAAUAAGCCCCGGCUAACUUCGUGCCAGCAGCCGCGGUAAUACGAAGGGGGCGAGCGUUAUUCGGAAUCACUGGGCGUAAAGCGUGCGUAGGCGGGCUCGUAAGUUAGGAGUGAAAGCCCAGGGCUCAACCUUGGAAUUGCUCUUAAAACUGCAAGGCUAGAAUCUCGGAGAGGAUAGCGGAAUUUCCAGUGUAGCAGUGAAAUGCGUAGAUAUUGGAAGGAACACCAGUGGCGUAAGCGGCUAUCUGGACGAGUAUUGACGCUGAGGCACGAAAGCGUGGGGAUCAAACAGGAUUAGAAACCCCUGUAGUCC